UACAAAGAUUGUCCUUGGUUGAUCUGUCUGGUGGUUCAACUGGCUCAAAAGAUUUGUUUUAUGUGACCUAAUUCAGAACUCACCUAGCACUAAGGCCACUAGCUGGGGGGUUUUGGUCAAAAACAUUUACAGUUUCAGGAGGAAGCUGCAAAGAGGAAAAAACAAGAAGUGGUUAGAACCAACUAGGCCCAAGAUGGCGGAGGAUCUGACUUCCACUAGACCUUGAGUCCAUCAGGUAAAUGAACCCAUCAAGUAAAUGAACCCAUCAGAUAUUUACUCAGACUUCACAGAUAAGGCAACUGAGGCUAAUAGAAGGUAAGUAAUUUGACCAAAUUCACACAGCUGGUGAGCAGCUGUCAUCUAAGCUGUGUAGGAAUAGAAGGCAUUAAUCUGAGUCCCGAGGUUGAAGGGAAAUGUUCAAGAUCAUCCUGUCGGAUAAAGUCAGAGCCAAGAUUACCAUUCAGAGCUUCUAUAUAUGUUUCCGAGCCUGUUUUUCCAUUUGCCUAACAGGGAUAAUAAUAGUCCUAUCACAAAAGAUUGGGGGAGAAUAUGGGAAUGGGACAUAGGCUAGAAUGUAUGAGGACAUAACCAAGAGAACGAGAUGAGAGGAAAUCAAAGACAAAGCCUUUGGACUUCAGAAUUUGGCCUGGAGUUUACCUGUCCAGCAGGCAGGCAGG
This is a long non-coding RNA of Camelus dromedarius (Arabian camel), 677 nucleotides long. RefSeq lists it as uncharacterized. The record is from RefSeq and is a predicted model, not a curated record. NCBI's taxonomy places the organism in Eukaryota, Metazoa, Chordata, Mammalia, Artiodactyla, Camelidae. The transcript has 3 exons.